GUUAGCGUGGCAGAGCUCGGUAAUGCAAGAGAUCUAAGCCCUUUUCCCCAGGGGUUCAAAUCCCCUCGCUAACU
This 74-nucleotide transfer RNA is filed under the name Microhyla achatina (Java rice frog). RNAcentral describes it as "tRNA-Leu". It matches the Rfam family "tRNA". From Rfam's summary of the family: Transfer RNA (tRNA) molecules are approximately 80 nucleotides in length. The record is from RNAcentral. Lineage: Eukaryota; Metazoa; Chordata; Amphibia; Anura; Microhylidae.